Molecule: ribosomal RNA, 498 nt
Filed under: Triticum aestivum (bread wheat)
Lineage: Eukaryota; Viridiplantae; Streptophyta; Magnoliopsida; Poales; Poaceae
Description: partial small subunit ribosomal RNA
Source: RNAcentral
AUGGUUCCCUUAUCUGAUGAUGAGAUUUGGCAGGUGAUUAGCUUGGCUAACCCGCAGGCUGCUUCCGGCCCUGAUGGCUUCUCGAUCCCCUUCUUCAAAAAAUUCUGGCCGCAGUUGCGGCCUCUCAUUUGUUCGAUCAUCCAAGGGUUCUGGUUGGGUACGGUGGACAUUUCUCGCCUUAACUGCGCUGUCAUUACCCUUAUUCCUAAAGUCAAGGGCGCGGAUUUGAUCUCGCAAUUUAGGCCGAUCGCCCUUAUUAAUAACUUUGCCAAGUUUCCGGCUAAAGGAUUAGCCACUCGUCUCUCCCCCAUUGCCCACCGUACCAUUAGCCCUUUCCAGUCGGCUUUCAUCAAGGGUCGUUUCAUUCUGGACGGGGUCCUCUGUUUGCAUGAAAUCGUUCAUGAUCUUAAGAUUCGUAAGUCGAAAGCGGUGAUUCUAAAAUUAGACUUUGAGAAGGCCUAUGACUCGGUGAGCUGGCAUUUUCUGCGUAGAGUUUUA